AUGAGGUGUGGGUAGCGGAGAAAUUCCAAUCGAACUUGGAGAUAGCUGGUUCUCUCCGAAAUAGCUUUAGGGCUAGCCUCGAGGUAAAGAGUCAUGGAGGUAGAGCACUGUUUGGACUAGGGGCCCUUCUCGGGUUACCGAAUUCAGAUAAACUCCGAAUGCCAUGUACUUAUACUCGGGAGUCAGACUGCGAGUGAUAAGAUCCGUAGUCGAAAGGGAAACAGCCCAGACCACCAGUUAAGGUCCCCAAAUAUAUGUUAAGUGGAAAAGGAUGUGGGGUUGCUUAGACAACCAGGAUGUUGGCUUAGAAGCAGCCACCAUUGAAAGAGUGCGUAAUAGCUCACUGGUCGAGUGACCCCGCGCCGAAAAUGUACCGGGGCUAAACAUAUUACCGAAACUGUGGAUGAACCUCUUUAGAGGUUCGUGGUAGGAGAGCGUUCUAAGGGCGGUGAAGUCAGACCGGAAGGACUGGUGGAGCGCUUAGAAGUGAGAAUGCCGGUAUGAGUAGCGAAAGAAGGGUGAGAAUCCCUUCCACCGAAUAUCUAAGGUUUCCUGAGGAAGGCUCGUCCGCUCAGGGUUAGUCGGGACCUAAGCCGAGGCCGAUAGGCGUAGGCGAUGGACAACAGGUAGAGAUUCCUGUACCAGUGCUAAUUGUUUAACCGAUGGGGUGACACAGAAGGAUAGGGAAUCGCACGAAUGGAAAUGUGCGUCCAAGCAGUGAGUGUGAGAAGUAGGCAAAUCCGCUUCUCGCGAAGCAUGAGCUGUGAUGGGGAAGGAAAUUAAGUACGGAAGUUCCUGAUUUCACGCUGUCAAGAAAAGCCUCUAGGAAGAGUAGUACUGCCCGUACCGCAAACCGACACAGGUAGAUGAGGAGAGAAUCCUAAGGUGAGCGAGAGAACUCUCGUUAAGGAACUCGGCAAAAUGACCCCGUAACUUCGGGAGAAGGGGUGCUCUAUUAGGGUGCAAGCCCGAGAGAGCCGCAGUGAAUAGGCCCAGGCGACUGUUUAGCAAAAACACAGGUCUCUGCAAAACCGUAAGGUGACGUAUAGGGGCUGACGCCUGCCCGGUGCUGGAAGGUUAAGAGGAGUGCUUAGCUUCGGCGAAGGUACGAAUUGAAGCCCCAGUAAACGGCGGCCGUAACUAUAACGGUCCUAAGGUAGCGAAAUUCCUUGUCGGGUAAGUUCCGACCCGCACGAAAGGCGCAACGAUCUGGGCACUGUCUCAACGAGAGACUCGGUGAAAUUAUAGUACCUGUGAAGAUGCAGGUUACCCGCGACAGGACGGAAAGACCCCGUGGAGCUUUACUGCAACCUGAUAUGGAAUGUUUGUACCGCUUGUACAGGAUAGGUAGGAGCCGAAGAGACGUGUGCGCUAGCAUACGAGGAGGCAAUGGUGGGAUACUACCCUGGCUGUAUGACCAUUCUAACCCGCCACGCUUAGCGCGUGGGGAGACAGUGUCAGGUGGGCAGUUUGACUGGGGCGGUCGCCUCCUAAAGAGUAACGGAGGCGCCCAAAGGUUCCCUCAGAAUGGAUGGAAAUCAUUCGCAGAGUGUAAAGGCACAAGGGAGCUUGACUGCGAGACUGACAAGUCGAGCAGGGACGAAAGUCGGGCUUAGUGAUCCGGUGGUUCCGCAUGGAAGGGCCAUCGCUCAACGGAUAAAAGCUACCCCGGGGAUAACAGGCUUAUCUCCCCCAAGAGUCCACAUCGACGGGGAGGUUUGGCACCUCGAUGUCGGCUCGUCGCAUCCUGGGGCUGUAGUCGGUCCCAAGGGUUGGGCUGUUCGCCCAUUAAAGCGGCACGCGAGCUGGGUUCAGAACGUCGUGAGACAGUUCGGUCCCUAUCCGUCGCGGGCGCAGGAAAUUUGAGAGGAGCUGUCCUUAGUACGAGAGGACCGGGAUGGACACACCGCUGGUGUACCAGUUGUUCCGCCAGGAGCAUCGCUGGGUAGCUAUGUGUGGCAGGGAUAAACGCUGAAAGCAUCUAAGCGUGAAGCCCCCCUCAAGAUGAGAUUUCCCAUUUCUUCGGAAAGUAAGAUCCCUGAAAGAUGAUCAGGUAGAUAGGUUUGGAGUGGAAGUGUAGCGAUACAUGGAGCGGACAAAUACUAAUCGAUCGAGGACUUAACCAA
RNAcentral lists this ribosomal RNA (2126 nucleotides) under Listeria monocytogenes. Its description in RNAcentral is "partial 23S ribosomal RNA". It matches the Rfam family "Bacterial large subunit ribosomal RNA", at positions 804 to 2925 of the family's 2925-position model. The record is from RNAcentral. Lineage: Bacteria; Bacillati; Bacillota; Bacilli; Caryophanales; Listeriaceae.